This is a long non-coding RNA of Oncorhynchus masou masou (cherry salmon), 3581 nucleotides long. RefSeq lists it as uncharacterized. The record is from RefSeq and is a predicted model, not a curated record. NCBI's taxonomy places the organism in Eukaryota, Metazoa, Chordata, Actinopteri, Salmoniformes, Salmonidae. The transcript is spliced from 6 exons.
UGUAAAGUACUUAAGGAAAAAAUACUUUAAAGUACUACUUAAGUAGUUUUUGACAGGCGGACUGAACAUAGCAGUGUAGAUCACCUCAAGAUAAAAACGCAAUAUCGGGACCAGGAAUCGGAAGGUCUUUGAAUGGUCUACAAAGCAUGCCCCCAGAUAUCUCGUACAGUAGAAACACUUGCACCUCGUCCACGUCGGCAAUAACUCAUCACUCCUACUCCAGAAUACCAAAAAAGGAAGAGGGCCCCAACUGUUGAUGACAUUGCCUCAGUUGUUAAAAGGCUAGGCCUCUCACCAGACGAAGUUACAGCAGCGGGCUACCAUCAAGAACAUUUAGUAUUUUCUGUGCUUGUCAUUGAACUGGAAAGGUUGAACACCCUCCGCUAUCGUUGUCAACUCUACGACAUGUGGAGUAAGGGAAGGAUAGCCAAUGCACCUCCCCCCUCCAUCUCCCAGAUUGCCCCAUCUCUACCCCCAGGUCCCCCAAUCAAUACCCCAGCAAGUAUACAUCACACGCCUGCUGCCUUUAACACCAGCACAAGCAGCUGAAAUGUUUGAAACGGUUGAUCCCGAUAACGUAUCCCACCACUCCACCCCAAGCCUGGAGACAUUUUUAUGUUUGCGGGUACUUCCUCGUCAUGUGAGUACCGGAAGACAGACCAAAAGCGAUGGAUUCAGAAGGGAUCCCACAGCCUUCCUCACCGUUUACCAAAACUAAGGGUGCGGUACUAUGCAGGGAAAGAAGCACCAGGGCUUCAUAAAGGGAGUAUGAGUUGCUGCAUCAGCCUCAUACUGUGCUCAUUCACUACUUUGAUGAGGAGGCACACUCCGCUGUCCCCCACGCCAACAGCAGCAAGCAAGGGAUUUCAUCUGAUCGGCUCCCUCAAUUAUGAAAUGUCCAAGCGAAAGACAGAAACAUCUGGCAAAGUACACUCGGAAAUGACCAAUAACCCACCACCACCCCCAAUUGCAUCAUUCAUGACAGAGUACCAACCUCACAACUUGGCACAAGUGAAGAACACAAUUCGUUGUGCAAGGGAGGUCACUGUUUUGGACCGGAAUGAGUUUGUGGCAAUACAUGAGAGGUGAUAUUCUCCUCGGAUUUGUCACCCAUAUGGAGACUCAACCCACAACCCUUCUGGUGGUGGCAGCACCAGAAAUGACUGAAGAGGCCAAGGCAGUCAUUAAAAGCAAACACCAAGGAGCACACAUUUUUCACUAUGACACCACAUUUUACCUGGGAAAUUUGUUUCACCCCUUUUCCAUCAUGUACUGUUUCAAGAGACACCUGUCCUUCCCCUGGCCUUCCUCAUUCACAUCACCCGGCACAUGGAAAACCACAAACAAUUCUUUCGCGCCAUCCUUUCACUCCUUCCCCAACUAUCAACAGCAAUCUUCUGCACAGACCGUGAGGUGGCUAUUGAGGAAGUAAACCAGUCUGUGAUUCCGCAAGCCAGGAUUGUCAAUUGCUGGAACCACAUCUCAAACAAUGUGAAGCACAAGAUGGGGUCAGAGGGUGUCCAAACUGUGGCCGAUUACCAGCAGACCAUCAAAAAGCUCUUGGCAUCGAAAUCAAGGAGUGACUACAAAUGCACACUGGAGAGUGUGUGUCCACUGGAGCCCUGACCUCAGGGCUUAUUUCCAUCAGUCGAUGUCCGACACCAUGGACAAGAGCCCACAAUAUGUGCUAAACAGCUUGGGCAUCCAGUCAGACGGUAUUACAAACAACUGCUCAGAGAGCUUCAAUGCUGUCCUCAAGGCAAAGGUUGGAUGGAAGAAGUUCAGAGUAGAUCAAUUGGUUUAUCUACUCUACCAACUCCAAACCAAUGCCUUGAGGGAAGUGCUGCGGGGCUACUGUAACCUAGGGAAUUUCCACCUGACCUCUGAGUGCCAUGAACAAUUUUCCAGGUGAAUGCCCACCACCAGUUUCCCCUACCACAUGUCGGAGGACGACAGGGUUUCUUUUGCUGAAGGCAUACAGUCCUGUGUGGCACAGGAAGAGUAUGACAUGGCAGAAACUGGAGCGGAGGCCUUGGCCAGGAUGAUUGUGGCAAAGGGAUGAUGACACCUGGUGCCAAGCACCCAAUCAUUCCUCUACCAGGGCUUCUCAGACAAGCAGCACAGCGUUACUCUGUUACCAAUGGAGCUGUGCUCCUGCUCUGCAUCGGAGAGUGCCCAGAGGUGUGUCCACCGACUGGCAGCUGUACUGGCCAUUGGCGGAAGUGUGGACAGUCCUAUGCCAAUAAAGCUAAGGACAAGGCAUCUGAGCGCAAAACGCUCUGGCCAUAAGUGUGCCACCAAAGAGCAUGUCCAGAUGGCCGCCAAACGCCAGGUAGAACAAUCAACCGUUGAUCAAUAGGUCUGUCUUAUUUGUUCCUAGAUUUUGUCUUAUUUGGGUACGUCACAAAAUGUUGACCAUUUUACUAAGCCAUGUGAUCCUCAUGUGUUUUAUGUAUAUCCAUUAACACAAAAUGCAGGCCUGUCCCAAACUGAACUGUCAACAUUAUUCAAUAGGGUGACCAAUUCCAACGGUCUCUGAAACACACCCAGCAGGAAUGACGAAUAGAUUUCUUCACCUAUACAAUGUCGUCGGAUUGCGUGGACAGGGCAAACACAAGGAUUUUGUUGGAGGGAUCCAUUGCCAUCCUGCACCUCCAUGACUUCCUUACGUUGAAGCCCAAUGAGUGGCUUAGUGGGGAGGUCAUUGACUUCUACCUCCAACUGAAGAGGAUUGACUGUCAAGUGUAGAGGGAUGUUUUUAUUGUGGAUCACCUUCUGGCAGGGAAUAUCCUGCAUGAGGAUAAGGUGGUGAUGCGCAAGAACACAUUGUCAAAGGUAAAUGCAUGUCUGCAGAGUUGCUUUUGUGUCAUGGUUCAAAAUAAGAGGCUAGAGGGGUCAAUGUGUGGAGAGGUGCCACCUUCCUGACAAGAAAUGGCCUGCCACACUAUAUAAAUGUAUCUUCAUUCCUCUUCCUGUAGUCCAGUCUGGAGCAGCACAGUUGCUUGAUUGGAGCUUGCAACGUGGCAAACUACCACUGAAUACUCUUGGUAAGCUUGGUACUGCUUGCGUUCAGUAUGUCAAUCACAAGGACCCACUCUGCCAUUGUCCUGGACCCUACUGGUUUCCCUAACGCGGAGCGCCAUAUGAGCGAGAACCUGGUCAAGCACAUCAGGUUUGGUAAAUCCAGUUGUGUAAAAACACUUGAAAGUAGUUUUUUGGAGUAUUUGUACUUUACUAUUUAUAUUUUUGACAACUUUUACUACAUUCCUAAAGAAAAUAACGCCGUUUUUACUCCAUACAUUUUCAUUGACACCCAAAAGUGAUGGUUACAUCCUGCUUAGCAGGACAGGAAAAUGUUAGCAUUCAUGCACUUAUCAAGAGAACAUCCCUGGUCAUCGCUACUGCCUUUGAUCUGGGGGACUCACUACACACAAAUUCUUUGUUUGUAAAUUAUGUCGGAGUGUUUGAAUGUGCUUCUGGCUAUCUGUAAAUUUAAAAAACAAUCUUUCCUUCUGGUUUGCUUAAUCUGAAGCAUUUGAAAUUAUUUAUCCUUUAACUUUUACAUUUGUUACUUAAGUAUA